UACGUAGGUGGCAAGCGUUAUCCGGAUUUACUGGGUGUAAAGGGCGUGUAGGCGGGGAAGCAAGUCAGAUGUGAAAACCACGGGCUCAACCUGUGGCCUGCAUUUGAAACUGUUUUUCUUGAGUGCUGGAGAGGCAAUCGGAAUUCCGUGUGUAGCGGUGAAAUGCGUAGAUAUACGGAGGAACACCAGUGGCGAAGGCGGAUUGCUGGACAGUAACUGACGCUGAGGCGCGAAAGCGUGGGGAGCAAACGGG
This 253-nucleotide ribosomal RNA is filed under the name uncultured bacterium. RNAcentral describes it as "partial 16S ribosomal RNA". It matches the Rfam family "Bacterial small subunit ribosomal RNA", at positions 524 to 776 of the family's 1533-position model. The record is from RNAcentral.